GGCAGAGAGGUCACACCCGUUCCCAUACCGAACACGGAAGUUAAGCUCUCUAGCGCCGAUGGUAGUUGGGACCUUGUCCCUGUGAGAGUAGGACGUCGCCAAGC
RNAcentral lists this ribosomal RNA (104 nucleotides) under Bacillus anthracis (anthrax bacterium). The record is from RNAcentral. Lineage: Bacteria; Bacillati; Bacillota; Bacilli; Caryophanales; Bacillaceae. RNAcentral also lists the same sequence under 376 other names.